This 485-nucleotide ribosomal RNA is filed under the name uncultured bacterium. RNAcentral's name for it is "partial 16S ribosomal RNA". It matches the Rfam family "Bacterial small subunit ribosomal RNA", at positions 30 to 507 of the family's 1533-position model. The record is from RNAcentral.
UUGAACGCUGGCGGCAUGCCUUACACAUGCAAGUCGCACGGCAGCACGGGUGCUUGCACCUGGUGGCGAGUGGCGAACGGGUGAGUAAUACAUCGGAACAUGUCCUGUAGUGGGGGAUAGCCCGGCGAAAGCCGGAUUAAUACCGCAUACGAUCUACGGAUGAAAGCGGGGGACCUUCGGGCCUCGCGCUAUAGGGUUGGCCGAUGGCUGAUUAGCUAGUUGGUGGGGUAAAGGCCUACCAAGGCGACGAUCAGUAGCUGGUCUGAGAGGACGACCAGCCACACUGGGACUGAGACACGGCCCAGACUCCUACGGGAGGCAGCAGUGGGGAAUUUUGGACAAUGGGCGAAAGCCUGAUCCAGCAAUGCCGCGUGUGUGAAGAAGGCCUUCGGGUUGUAAAGCACUUUUGUCCGGAAAGAAAUCCUUGGCCCUAAUACGGUCGGGGGAUGACGGUACCGGAAGAAUAAGCACCGGCUAACUACGUG